GUGAGAUGCUCCGGCUCUGGUACCACGAAAAUUGUCGAAUAUUUCAAGACAGACUGAUUAACGAUGAAGAUAGGAACUGGUUCGAUGCAUUGCUAAAGUCUGAAAUUGAACGACGGUACCGUUUAAAAUCUGAAGAAGUCCUUGGGACUACGGAUAUACUAUUUGGUGAUUUUAUAGAUCCAUCUGUAGGAGUAGGACCUUAUGUGCAAAUAACAGAUUUUGAAAAAUUGUCGGAUGCACUGAACUAUUAUCUCGAAGAUUAUAACCUUCAAAGUACGAAACCGAUGAAACUGGUGCUAUUUUUGGAUGCGAUGAUACACAUAUCCAGAAUCUCCAGAAUAAUUAGGCAGCCUUUAGGCAAUGCGCUGCUGCUGGGUAUGGGAGGUUCAGGAAGGCAAAGUCUCACUCGGCUUGCUGCCUUUAUGUCCGAAUAUAGUUGCUUUCAAAUAGAAUUAACGAAAGCAUACGGGCAAAACGAAUGGAGAGAUAAUGUGAAACACUUGAUGCUGUCAGCUGGAUUGCAACGAAGAGAAACUGUAUUUUUGUUCUCAGAUACACAGAUUAAAUCUGAGUCAUUUCUCGAAGAUCUGAAUAAUAUUCUUAACUCCGGCGAUGUUCCCAACAUCUACCAACCUGACGAACUGGAUAAGAUCUACCAAAGUAUGAAAGGACUUGUUCAAGAAAUGGGAUUAACAGCAACAAAAUCCAAUUUAUUUGCUGUAUAUCAGAAGCAAGUGAGAACAAACUUACACAAUGUGAUUACUAUGAGCCCUAUCGGAGAAGUAUUUAGAGCAAGAUUACGACAAUUUCCGGCCUUAGUCAACAACUGUACGAUCGACUGGUUUAGCCCUUGGCCUGAUACUGCAUUGCAAUCUGUCGCACUCCGUUUCUUAAAAGAAGUUGAGGAUUUUGAUGUCUCUGAAAGCAUUCUACAAGGAAUUGUCAUGACGUUUCAAUAUAUGCAUGCCAGCGUAGUUGAAGCUAGUGAAAGGUUUAAACAAGAGCUUUCACGCCAUAACUACGUCACGCCUACGUCAUAUCUGGAACUUUUAUCCAGCUACACGGAAUUGAUGAACAAAAAGAAGGGAUCUCUUACGGAAGGUGUCGGCAGAUUAAAAACAGGUUUAGGUAAGCUUCAAACUACUGCAGAAGAAGUUAAAAUAUUGCAAAGUCAACUUAAGGAAUUGAAACCACUUCUUGAAGAAGCUGCUCGAGAUGCUGAUAUAAUGAUAACUAAAAUUGCUGCAGACACGGUUAUUGCUGAAGAAACCAAAGAAAUUGUCGAAAAAGAAGAACAGGCGGCAGCUGAAAAAGCAUAUGAAACACAAAAUAUUGCUGAGGAUGCCCAAAGGGAUUUAGAUGAAGCAUUGCCAGCUUUAUUAGCCGCUGAAGCCAGUUUGAAAGCCUUAAAUAAAAAUGACAUUAUUGAAGUAAGAUCGAUGAAAAGACCACCAGCUGGUGUAGUUUACGUCAUUGAAGCUAUUUGUAUAGUAAAGAAUAUUAAACCAAACAAAAUUCCUGGAUUUAAACCAGGAGAAAAGCUACUGGAUUAUUGGGAUCCUGGUAGAGUCAUGUUAGCGGAUCCACAAGCAUUUCUUAUGAGUCUCAUGAACUUUGACAAAGACUCGAUCACAGAAGAGAUGAUAGACAAAUUGAGGAAAUAUGUUGAAGAUCCUCUAUUUACUCCACAAAAAAUUUCAAAGGUCUCCAAAGCUUGCACUUCUCUUUGUAUGUGGAUCCACGCAAUGUUCAAAUUCUAUUUCGUCAACAAAGCAGUAGCUCCGAAGAAAGCCGCUCUCGCUAGAGCUAAAGCAGACUUGGAAGCAACCUUACAAGCCCUCGCCGAUGCCAAAGCUAAAAUGAAGGAGGUGUUGGAAGGUCUGGAACAAUUGCAAAAAGCAUUAGCUGAAAAAAUUGCGUUUAAAGAAGAAAAGGAGCAGAGCAUUGCAGUGUGUGAGGAAAAAUUAAACAGGGCCAUGAGGUUGAUUAAUGGUUUGGCAGAAGAAAAGAUAAGAUGGGAGCAAACUAUCGAGGAAAUUGAUGCGAAUGUUGUAAAUGUAACAGGAGAUAUAUUGAUUUGUUCUGGUUGCGUUGCUUAUUUGACACCUUUCACUGAUUCAUACAGACGCAGUUUGUUUGCGAGUUGGAUGGAGAAGAUAACAUAUUACCAAAUCCCAUUUACCCCGAACUGCAAUCCAGUAACUAUAUUAGGAGAACCAGUUCAGAUAAGGCUUUGGCAACUGGAUGGAUUGCCUAGAGAUUAUCUCUCUACGGAAAAUGCAGUUUUAGUUUCUUGUUCCCGCAGAUGGCCAUUGUUUAUCGAUCCGCAAGGACAGGCCAAUAAGUGGGUUAAAAAGAUGUGUAAAAAUAUGGGACUAUCCGUAUGCAAGCUUGCUGACAGAGAUUUGAUGAGAACAAUGGAAUCAUCAAUCCGUUUCGGAAAAGCAGUGCUGAUAGAAAACGUCGGCAUAGAGCUAGACCCUGCCUUAGAUCCAGUUCUACUCCAUCAAGUAUUUAUGCAGAGUGGUACUUUGGUGAUCAAAUUGGGCGAUGUUGUAGUACCGUACGAUGACAAUUUUAGAUUGUAUAUUACAACUAAGCUACCAAAUCCACAUUACACUCCAGAAAUUUCUAUUAAAGUACUGCUAGUCAAUUUUACGGUAGUAUCCACUGGCUUGCAGGACCAAUUGUUGGCUUUAGUAGUGAUGCAAGAACGACCAGAUUUGGAAGAACAGAGGAGUCAAAUUGUCGUUAGUAUAGCAACGAUGAAACAUGAGCUAAAAGAAAUACAGGACCGAAUUCUUUAUAAACUAAGUUCAUCAGAGCUUUCGCCAAUUGAAGACCUUGAUUUCAUUAUAACUCUAGAAGCUUCAAAAGUGAAGAGUGAAGAUAUUAAGAGUAAAGUAGAGUCUGCAGAAAUAACACAAAUCGACAUCGACAACACUAGAGCGCUUUAUAUUCCUGUAGCAAACAGAGCUCAGAUACUAUUCUUUUGCGUAGCUGAUCUGUCCAAUGUAGAUCCAAUGUACCAGUAUUCUUUGGAAUGGUUUAUACAAAUUUUUGUUUCUACCAUGGCUGAUACUGAAAAAUCAGAUAACAUUAUUCAACGUGUAAAGACUAUCAACGACUCAUUCACAUUCAAUCUAUAUUGCAAUAUAUGCAGGAGUCUGUUUGAAAAGCACAAGAUGCAUUUUGCAUUUUUGUUGUGUAUCAGAAUUUUAAUGGACUUGAAAAAAAUCGAUCCACAGGAAUGGCAACAUUUUUUGGCUGGAGGAACUCCAAAGCAGAGGAUGCCCAACCCUGCUUCAAGUUGGUUAUCCAGUAGAGCAUGGAAUGAAAUAUUAGCAUUAGACGCUUUGCCCACGUUCCAAGAGUUUGUUCAAACUUUUGCCUCGAACAUCGACGACUAUCGAAUCAUGUUUGAAAGUUCCGAACCCCACAGGUUUCCUUUGCCUUAUCCCUUCAACAAAACGUUCGACAAAUUCCAGAAGAUAGUAGUGCUGAAAAGCCUUAGACCAGACAAAGUUACUAACGCCAUUCAAGAUUUCUUAGCGGAAAAUCUGGGACAACAGUUCAUAGAACCCCAGACAUCUGAUUUGUCGGCCAUGUUUAAAGAAUCUGGUCCUACUAUACCCUUAAUUUUUGUUCUGUCUACUGGUACUGAUCCAGCGGCAGAACUGUAUAAGUUUGCUGAUAGAAUGAAAAUGGGAAAGAGGAUGUUUUCGAUAUCAUUGGGACAAGGUCAAGGACCAAGGGCAGAGAAGAUGAUGCAAGGCGGUGUUGAAGUUGGAUCAUGGGUGUUCUUUCAGAAUUGCCAUUUAGCUCCCAGCUGGAUGCCUCGUCUGGAACGAGUAAUAGAAUCCCUAACGCCAGAAACAACCCACAGAGAUUUCCGCAUCUGGUUGACCUCCACUCCAUCCCCCCAUUUUCCUGUAUCCAUCUUGCAAAACGGCAGCAAAAUGACAAUAGAGCCACCUGCAGGGCUCAAAGCUAACAUGAUGAGAGCAUACAGAAAUGAAGUUUCAGAAUUGACUUCGUUUAUACAAUCUGAUAAUCCUAAAUCUCCUACGUUUAGGUUAUUGGUGUUUUCGUUAUGUCUCUUUCAUGGUAUUUUAUUGGAGAGACGAAAAUUUGGACCAUUGGGAUUUAAUAUUCCCUAUGAAUUUACAGACGGUGACCUUAAAAUCUGCAUUUCACAAUUACAUAUGUUUCUGUUGGAAUACACCGAAAUACCAUUUAAAGUGCUCACCUACACUGCAGGAGAAAUUAACUACGGUGGCAGAGUUACUGAUGAUUGGGAUAGAAGAUGUUUGAUGAACAUUUUAGCUGAUUUUUACAAGAAAGAAGUCAUUGUUCCAAACUAUGUGUUUGAUCAUCAAGGAUUCUACCAUCAGAUUCGCACAGAUGUAUUAUUUGUCGACUACAUUGACUACAUAAAGACACUCCCUAUCAACGAUGAUCCCGAACUUUUCGGUAUGCAUCCUAAUGCCGACAUUACGUUUGCGCAAUCUCAAACUUACGCUUGCUUAUCCACAUUAUUACUGCUGCAACCGAAGCAAGUUGGAGGUGCAGCUGCUAGUCAAGAGGAGACCACAGCCAAUACAGCUCGCUCAAUUUUGGACCAGUUGCCUGAGUUGUUCGAUUUGGAUAAGAUUACCGAAAGGUAUCCUGUCUUAUACGAAGAAUCAUUGAAUACAGUCAUCAUACAGGAAGCUAUAAGAUACAACAAACUAUUGGUUGUUAUACAACUGAGUUUGAACGAUCUGUUGAAAGCACUUAAAGGUCUGGUGGUAAUGUCAGAGGCGCUAGAAAAGAUGUCAUUGAGCUUAUUCAGCAAUAUGGUCCCUGAUUUAUGGGCUAGUAAAGCCUAUCCUUCUUUGAAACCUUUAGAUAUUGGAGCAUUUUCCUAAGAAGAGACCAAAAGAUGGGUGUUGUAUUUAUGGUUUAUACCUCGAAGGGGCGAGAUGGAAUCCCAAUAUAGAUCAUCUAGAUGAAUCUAAUCCUAAAGAGUUGUAUACAGAUCACCCCGAGUGUGCGACGCUUCUAGUAACUCAACACUUAUUCUGUUAGUCUGGAGUUCCUCAGGCCGUUCUAGAACACAGUCAUUUUGUGCGACUAUAUAAACCAAAUUGUUCUUAUUGAAUGAAUCAGUCUGUAGUUUACAGCUGUCAUAAAAAUUGUACUAAUAAAUACGAAUUGUAAAUAAA
This 5207-nucleotide unclassified non-coding RNA is filed under the name Diabrotica virgifera virgifera (western corn rootworm). RNAcentral describes it as "dynein axonemal heavy chain 1-like". The record is from RNAcentral. Lineage: Eukaryota; Metazoa; Arthropoda; Insecta; Coleoptera; Chrysomelidae.